RNAcentral lists this ribosomal RNA (497 nucleotides) under uncultured bacterium. RNAcentral's name for it is "partial 16S ribosomal RNA". It matches the Rfam family "Bacterial small subunit ribosomal RNA", at positions 28 to 507 of the family's 1533-position model. The record is from RNAcentral.
GACGAACGCUGGCGGCGUGCCUAAUACAUGCAAGUUGAGCGAUGAAGAUUGGUGCUUGCACCAAUUUGAAGAGCAGCGAACGGGUGAGUAACGCGUGGGGAAUCUGCCUUUGAGCGGGGGACAACAUUUGGAAACGAAUGCUAAUACCGCAUAACAACUUUAAACAUAAGUUUUAAGUUUGAAAGAUGCAAUUGCAUCACUCAAAGAUGAUCCCGCGUUAUAUUAGCUAGUUGGUGAGGUAAAGGCUCACCAAGGCGAUGAUACAUAGCCGACCUGAGAGGGUGGUCGGCCACAUUGGGACUGAGACACGGCCCAAACUCCUACGGGAGGCAGCAGUAGGGAAUCUUCGGCAAUGGACGAAAGUCUGACCGAGCAACGCCGCGUGAGUGAAGAAGGUUUUCGGAUCGUAAAACUCUGUUGGUAGAGAAGAACGUUGGUGAGAGUGGAAAGCUCAUCAAGUGACGGUAACUACCCAGAUAGGGACGGCUAACUACGUG